Gouania willdenowi (blunt-snouted clingfish) is the source of this 2086-nucleotide long non-coding RNA. Ensembl lists it as uncharacterized. The record is from Ensembl. NCBI's taxonomy places the organism in Eukaryota, Metazoa, Chordata, Actinopteri, Blenniiformes, Gobiesocidae.
GCCGGGUUUGUCGUUUGCACGAGUGUCGACAGUGUGUUUAAGACAUUCCUGCGUUGGACGGCAUGUUGGAAAAAGGAAAGAGCCACAACCUCCGAUACAACAAGCGUUCUCGUCCAUCCAGUCGGACGAGUCGGUCGUGUUGUAAAAGCUUAAUCACUUAUCAACUCGAUUCACAAGUCAAGUGCUGCUCACUUUAAUGGUCUCACCGCACUACCAGGCAGCAUGUCAUCCUCCGUGCUGCUCUACGGCCUCCCCUGAUGGUGCCCAACCCCAGAGGUCAGGGGUCAACAGGACAGGGGCGGCUGGGGAGGUAAAUGGAUGGAGGAGGUCGGAGGAGAAAUAUGUGGAAGUCCAAAGCAGAAAGCUGUUCAGCUGUGGCCCACCUCCUGGUCCUGGUUCCAGACUCUGAGUCCCUUCCAUCCGUGGUCCACUCUGGCUCCUCUGGGUUUUCUGUGGUCCUUCUGUGAACUGGAGACGUCCCAGUCUCUGCUGGAUGUGUUCUACAGGCUGCUGCUGGUGUGUUUCUGUUGGAUCAUACUGGGAACCUGCAUCCAUGUAUUAAAGAGUCACCUGAAGAAAGUCCACACACAGGAGAAACCUCCAGAGGAAACACAAGAGAUUGUUGUGUUUAAAAACAGGAACAAGUUACAAUCAUGUAUACCUGUACAGCCGCCACAGAGACCCGGUGUGUCCCUGGUCCUCACUCUGGCCCUGGCAGACAGCCUGCUGCUGUGUGUGCUGCAGGAGCACCUGCAACCCCCCAACCUCACCCAUAUCCAGGCUCUGCUCUCUAAUCUGGAGUCAGUGGCUCACACACUGGACGAGGCUGGAAUCAGGAAAGGCUCGAGGACCCUGGAUGUGGAUGAAGAAUCGAACGUUCUAACGGAUAAACUGAAUCUGCUCUGCAGCUAUCUACAACAGAGGACGACGUCUCUUCAAACGCUCGUGUGUGUUCAGGCAGAAUUUGAAGCCGGUGUGAAGGACCUGCAGCAGAACCUGGAAAACAUGUGGACUGAACUGGAGAAGCUGCACACAGGGGUCACGUUUACCAAGGAGGGGGGUCAGGGUCCGGUUACCGUGGAAACGGCUCAGACUAACACAGAGACUCUGUUUGAGGCGUUAGAACGCUACAGGACCAAACUGGACUCGUGUCGGACCGACCUGAAGGACAGCACCACGCUGCUGCAGGAGCUGUCAUGGAGUCACAGUCACAUCAGCACCAGAGUGAACAGCAGCAGUGAGUCGCCGUGGCCUGAGAUUCUGCUUCAGUCCAACAUGGAGCAGUUUGACAAGGUGGAGGAGAGCUUUGUGGCUGUGGAGCAGCAGACGUCCACCUUCCAGGCUCACCUGGAGGGCCUCAGGGAAGCUCAUUCAAAGGAAGACGAGGAACCGCUGAAUAAGAGCGAGGACUCAAUGUCACAGACUACUCAGUGUGACCACAACAGGGCCACACCACCCCAGUCACUGCAGCCAUCCACCUCCACCUCUUCUAAGUCCUCCUCAUCCUCAGUGAAAACAGGCAAAGACACUAAACAAGGUGCUUCUCUAUCACUGAGGGAAAGGACAGCUCUGCACUUCUCCAGCAUCAACCGUCUGCGCAUGCCCAGGUGGAAGAAGUGAUGUUUUUAAACGUCGCAGAUGUUGAUCAUUUGCUGUUUGAAACGACAAUAUUUAUUGAUUUUUGUGCGUUGAUUUGUUGUUGACUUGUUUGUGUGUUAAUAUAAAGCUGAAAAUCAAACCAUGUGUUUCAUUAUCCUCUGUAAAGCAGGGCUGUCAAACUCGGUUUGACUCAGGGGCCAAAUAUGAUUUAGUUUUAAUCACAAGUGUGACACAGAUAUUAUGUCUUAUUUUGCACUUCCACGUGUAAAUGAUUUACAAAUCCAAACAAUAUCUCAUAGAUUUCAGUCCCGGCAGUUCUCAUUAUUUUUUAUAGAAUCUUUAUUUAUUUAUUUUUAUUUAUCCUGCCUUAUCGGCACAUGCCAUCACACUAUUCAGUGCAAACUUUUUGUGACACUUGUGCAUUUUUUAUUCUUGCAAAAAAGGAAAAAUAAUACACUUAUAUUAUUGAGUGAUUGUGACCAUCUUU